CAUUGCAUUUGGUUGUCCUUGGCU
This 24-nucleotide microRNA is filed under the name Panagrellus redivivus. RNAcentral's name for it is "prd-miR-7912-5p". The record is from miRBase by way of RNAcentral. Lineage: Eukaryota; Metazoa; Nematoda; Chromadorea; Rhabditida; Panagrolaimidae.